This 117-nucleotide ribosomal RNA is filed under the name Rattus norvegicus (Norway rat). Lineage: Eukaryota; Metazoa; Chordata; Mammalia; Rodentia; Muridae. The record is from RNAcentral.
ACAUGGAGUCUACGGUCUGAAUGCACCCAAUCUCAUAUGAUCUCAGAAGCCAAGCAGCGUUGGGCCUGGUUAGUACUUGAAUGGGAGAGCGCCUGGGAAUAUCGGGUGCUCUAGGCU